Molecule: transfer RNA, 69 nt
Filed under: Opistognathus jacksoniensis (southern smiler)
Lineage: Eukaryota; Metazoa; Chordata; Actinopteri; Opistognathidae
Description: tRNA-Arg
Rfam family: tRNA
About the family: Transfer RNA (tRNA) molecules are approximately 80 nucleotides in length. Their secondary structure includes four short double-helical elements and three loops (D, anti-codon, and T loops).
Source: RNAcentral
AGACUGUUAGUUUAAGCAAAACAUUUGAUUUCGGCUCAAAAGCUUGUGGUUAAAGUCCACAAUCGUCUA